This 21-nucleotide non-coding RNA is filed under the name Caenorhabditis elegans. The record is from RNAcentral. Lineage: Eukaryota; Metazoa; Nematoda; Chromadorea; Rhabditida; Rhabditidae.
UAAAGUCAACAGUUCUGAAAU